Molecule: ribosomal RNA, 279 nt
Filed under: uncultured bacterium
Lineage: Bacteria
Description: partial 16S ribosomal RNA
Rfam family: Bacterial small subunit ribosomal RNA
Source: RNAcentral
UGCCAGCCGCCGCGGUAAUACGGAGGAUCCAAGCGUUGAUCGGAAUCACUGGGCGUAAAGCGUGUGUGGGCUGCGCGGAAAGUCAAAUGUGAAAGCCCGGGGCUCAACCUCGGAACAGCAUUUUGAACUGGCAGACUAGAGUCUUGUAGAGGGGGGUAGAAUUUCAGGUGUAGCGGUGAAAUGCGUAGAGAUCUGAAGGAAUACCGGUGGCGAAGGCGGCCCCCUGGACAAAGACUGACGCUCAGGUGCGAAAGCGUGGGGAGCAAACAGGAUUAGAUA